AACGAACGCUGGCGGCAUGCCUAACACAUGCAAGUCGAACGAGACCUUCGGGUCUAGUGGCGCACGGGUGCGUAACGCGUGGGAACCUGCCCUUAGGUUCGGAAUAACUCCCCGAAAGGGGUGCUAAUACCGGAUAAGGUCUUCGGACCAAAGAUUUAUCGCCUUUGGAUGGGCCCGCGUUGGAUUAGCUGGUUGGUAGGGUAAAAGCCUACCAAGGGGACGAUCCAUAGCUGGUCUGAGAGAAUGGUCAGCCACACUGGGACUGAGACACGGCCCAGACUCCUACGGGAGGCAGCAGUGGGGAAUAUUGGACAAUGGGCGAAAGCCUGAUCCAGCAAUGCCGCGUGAGUGAUGAAGGCCGUAGGGUUGUAAAGCUCUUUUACCCGGGAUGAUAAUGACAGUACCGGGAGAAUAAGCUCCGGCUAACUCCGUG
Molecule: ribosomal RNA, 433 nt
Filed under: uncultured bacterium
Lineage: Bacteria
Description: partial 16S ribosomal RNA
Rfam family: Bacterial small subunit ribosomal RNA
Source: RNAcentral